This is a long non-coding RNA of Folsomia candida, 1392 nucleotides long. RefSeq lists it as uncharacterized. The record is from RefSeq and is a predicted model, not a curated record. The transcript has 3 exons. NCBI's taxonomy places the organism in Eukaryota, Metazoa, Arthropoda, Collembola, Entomobryomorpha, Isotomidae.
UCACAAAUUUGCUCCAUCCGGUAACCAAUUGUGAUCAGUAUGUGUGGAAAACGUUCGCCAUCCACUACAGUAGUGGACGACCACCCGAAAAGUUUCCCACUGCUGACUCCUUGAUAAAAUCUAGGCUACUAUUUGACUUCAACCAAUAUAUGUUUAGAUUGGCUUGUGGCUGGACUUCGGUGCAUAAGGUCAUCGAACAUGUUUGCGAAAAUCAUCGCUUCUCUCUAGCCAAUGGAAACCUUUGCUUCGUGGCUUGGGGACCAAUGCAAGUACUAAUGAGGAGACUAAAUUUUACAUAUUCCGAAAAUAGCAACCAGUCCAACAAUCGCUCAGAACUUGGUGUUGCGCGAUACAUGUGGAAAUUUACACCCGGACUGAGAAUCCAUCUCGAGGAAACUAUUCGCCAUAAUAUUCUCUAUUGCCAAAAAAAUCCAAUCUUCUUAUCAUUAAAGAUUUCGCGUUUCGUUUUUCACUACUAUUGACACUUGGGCAUGGAUGGGAUUCAUGACCGUCUCGUUUUUCUUAGGAUUAACUGAGCUAGGUGGAUAUACAGAUAUUGCCGUGACAUUCCUCAAGGUAUCAUUACCCAACAGGACAUCCCUCACAUCCUUUGGGGUGCUCUGUAUAGUGACAAUGGUUGCCAUCAGCUCAUCCUAUGACGCCAUUAUCACAACCGACAUAAUCGCACCUCCUGAGAAAUAUGUCAUUGCAAGAAUAUUAUUUGGGAUUUCAAAUAUUUUGGUUCAGAAGGAUUAUACCGUACUUUACAAGGGAUGAGUUCCAACGGACUUUACCAACUAUAUAUAGAGUUUUGGAAAUUUGCCAACGCACGUGGUGAGAGAAAUCAAACUGCCCUUAUACCCAAAGAUAAUUUAGGUUUGGAAAAUCUUGUAGUUGGCUUUCAAUUAUACUUCAUUUUAGGUGGGUUUGCAGUUCUUAGUUUCUUUUAAGAAAUCGUCGUGCAGAAGUUUAACAUCGACGAUAAGAUUUCAUUUGUGCUGUUGAAAUCAAAAUUUCAAUUCUAUCGCGUGGCUGCUAUGAUUUGCACUGUUUUGUCUAAACUGAAAAAUAUGUGUCAUGCAGUCAUCAUGAAGUUAAGAAAAUUAAUUUAUAUGGUAAAUUAUUUGUUUCAUAAUUACAUAGUUAGUUACAAUGUUAAGUUGUUUUAGUAGCAAGCAUGGCAUUAUAUUUACAUAUAUAGGGACACUUAUGUACUGCCUUGAUUUAAUCAGUAUGGUCGUGUAAAAUUUAAAAUGUGGCCCGUCUUGAAGACGGGCUUAUAGGCGACUUGUUUAAUAUAAACUACAGACUACAGGUUCUUUUUGCAAAGGUAAGAUUACCUUUUAGAGUAAAGUUUUUUAUGUAUUAAGUAUUUUAUAAUAAUAAUUGUAU